UAAAAUGCUAUUCUGUCAUUGU
Molecule: microRNA, 22 nt
Filed under: Bos taurus (domestic cattle)
Lineage: Eukaryota; Metazoa; Chordata; Mammalia; Artiodactyla; Bovidae
Description: Bta-Mir-3660_5p* (star (passenger))
Source: RNAcentral